CAAAAUUGGGGAAUUCUUCAUCGAUUAAAAUAUUUGACCAAUCAGCAUGCCGUAUUCUUCUCCCGCCACGGCUGUCAGAGCUGUUCAUGGGGAACUCUUCCGGUUCAUCUAUUUAUACCUAAUCGGCUAGAUCAUGUGACUUUCAAAAUGGCGUUGAAAGGGAGUGUGUUUGCAACAAGAGCUAGGGCAGGUUCUUCAAAAUUGGCUACUCAAUACGAUGCAGAUGGAAAUGAAAUAGAGUUUGAUGUGCGAGAAGAUGAGGAACAAAACGUUAAGCUGGGACAAACUAUUGACCUGUUGCUGGCAGCGGGUUACUUCAGAGCCAGAAUCAAAGGACUGUCACCAUUCGAUAAGGUGGUCGGUGGGAUGACCUGGUGCAUCACAACAUGCAAUAUAGAUAUUGAUGUAGAUCUCCUCUUCCAAGAAAAUUCCACUAUUGGACAGAAAAUUGCCUUAACAGAAAGAAUCGUAGGUGUAUUGCCGAAGAUGAAAUGUCCACACAGAAUAGAACCACAUCAGAUCCAGGGAUUGGAUUUCAUUCAUAUCUAUCCUGUUGUCCAGUGGUUGGUGAAGAAGGCCAUAGAGACUAGAGAAGAAAUGGGGGACUUUAUUCGAGCUUUUUCGAUUUCACAGUUCAGUAAAAGUCACAGGACACCAGAGGAUGUUGUGUUUGAGGAACUAAAAGACACUGCCAUGGCCUCUGUUGCAGAUGUCAAGGAUGUGUAUAAACCACAGAGACGAUACAAGAGACAAAACGUAGAACAACUGAGGGAUGAAGAGACGCGCGUUCACUCGACGCUUCUGGAAUACGGCAGGAGAUAUGGUUUGAGCAAGUCCGACACAUCUGAACAGGAUGCUGAUAAAAGUGCUAAGAAGAAAGCAGCAGCUGCCAGUCUUGGAGGUCAGCAGGAAAUGACCCCGGAGGAGCUUCAGGCCGAGGAAGAGAAGAAAAUACAACAGCUGAUGUCUGGCAUGUCAGGAUUUCAGGAGGAUAAAUUGACAGCAAGUGCCGUGGGUUCGAUCGUAGGAAUGAGGUCUGAGGAAAUUCAACAAAUUGCCUCCCAUUACGAAGAGAAAAAAUCAGAGAUAGAACAAAUUGAGAAAUCGGAGCGAGUUGGUGGAACGCAGCAACACAAGAGAGUAACUGCAGCCCUGGGUAAACAACUACAGCAAAAGACGGACAAACUGCAACAGACUCAAGCGAAACAUGAUGAACUGCAUAAAGUCUACCUAGAAACUCAAGAGAAACUCAAGCAGGUUAGAAAUCGGAGUGACAGAAUAGAUGAAGAAAUGGUGAAACUGACGGGCAUCGAGACGGAAGAAAACAAGGGAGUCCUGGAUGCAUUGCGCUCUCUGGUGGCCAUGAAUGAGAACUUGAAGAAACAAGAACAGGAUUUCAAAGCUCAUUGCAAAGAAGAGAUGGCUCGUCUGAAGGCCCAGAUUGAGGAACUGAAAGCAGGAGCUGACUAUGGGGAGUCUGAGGACAAGGCCAGGGCCAGUUUGAUUGACAAGCAGUAUGAAGCAGACAGGGAGAAACUACACAAAAUUAGGCUACUUCUGGCCAGGAAGACCCGGGAAAUCGCUGUUCUCCAGAGAAAGAUAGAUGAUGUCCCUUCUCGAGCAGAACUCAGUCAAUACCAGCGACGUUUUAUUGAGCUGUAUAAUCAAGUUGCUGCCACCCACAAGGAAACAAAACAGUUCUACACCCUGUACAACACGUUAGAUGACACCAAACUCUACUUCAACAAGGAAGUUAGUCUACUGAAUUCUAUCCACGAUAACUUCAGACAGGCUAUGGCUAACCCAAAUACAAGGGAGCAAUUCCUGAAGCAGUUUGAAAACAUUGUGGAGGGGAUCAAGCAGAACAAAGCAAAGCUUGAAAAACGUAAACAGGAAGAGAAGAUGAAGCGCGACCAGCUGAAUGAUCAAUAUUUAGACUUGGUGGAAAAACAACGACUUUAUUUCAAAACCGUGAAAGACUUCAAGGAGGAAUGUCGGAAAAAUGAAAUGCUGCUUAGCAAAUUGAGGAAAUAACGAUUAAAUGGACUUGGAUGAUUUGCUUUCUGCUACAAGUGUAUUUUUAAAAAUGUUCUACUGAGCUUUCCUUCCUUUGUCAACCUCAUAUCUAACUAGUGCUGCACGGAAAAUAGGGAACCAGUUUAUCGUGUACUUGAGCAUCCAGAACAUCUCGCUAUAGUUUUCAACAUGAUAUAGGUUUAAACUUGCCCAGUAAAUUUGAAUUAGCAAUACAAAUGAUGUAUACAAAUUUAAAUAAGCAAUACAAAUGAUAUAUACAAAUUUAAAUAAGCAAUACAAAUGAUAUAUACAAAUUUAAAUAAGCAAUACAAAUGAAAUACUAUACAUAACAGAUGACAAGGUAUGAUUGAUUGUAUAUUGUUUAACGUCCUUCUCGUGAAGUUUUCACUCACAUGGAGACGUCACCAUUGCUGGUGAAGGGCUGCAAAAUUUAGGCCUAUGCUCGGCACUUGUGGCCUUUGAGCAGGGAGGGAUCAUUAUUGUGCCACACCUGCUGUGACGCGGGACCUCGGUUUUUUGCGUUCUCAUCCGAAGGGUCGCCCCAUUUAGUCGCCUUUAACGACUAGCAAGAGGGUACUGAGGACCUAUUCUAACCCGAAUCCCCACGGGAUGACAAGGUAUGCAAUACAAAUGAAAAAUAUUACAAUACAACUGGAAAGUUAUACAAUACAAAUGGAAAAUAUACAAUACAAAUCUUUUACAUGUAUUUUUACAAUACAAAUGAAACAUACAAAACAAAUGGAAUAGAUCAAAUAUUGCAAUGAUUGGCCUGCCAUAAAUCUUUUUCCUGUGCGACUUGCGUUAGUGUUGGUUGAAACUGAUGAGAUCGCUCACCUGGGCUGAAUAUGCGAGACCAUCUACAUGUCGUGUAAAUUUUGAAUGUACUGUGAUAUAACCCCCCCCCCCCCCCCUCACCCAAAAUUCGUUACCAGAACGAUGUAUCGUGUCUUUAAAAUCGUAAAACAGCUUGUGGUCAUGGGUUCGUUCUUGGUGCGCUUGAACGCGCUCGUGCAGUGAGUGUGCAAUCUCGUUUUGACUCGCUAGCUAUAAAACUGAGCAUGCUCUGCAUUAACGAUACAAUAACAUGUUCUUUGUCAUUCCCCAUUCUUGUUUAACACUUGAAACUGCAUACUAAGCUAUAUUAUCAUGUCUACAAAGAGAAAAACUGCAUGCUACGCUAUUUUAUCAUGUUUACAAAGAGAAAGACUGCAUACUACGCUAUAUUAUUAUGUCUACAAAGAGAAAAACUGCAUACUACGCUAUAUUAUCAUGUCUACAAAGAGAAAAACUGCAUGCUACGCUAUUUUAUCAUGUCUGCAAAGAGAAAAACUACAUGCUACGCUAUAUUAUCAUGUCUACAAAGAGAAAAACUACAUGCUACGCUAUUUUAUCAUGCAUACAAAGAAAGACUGCAUACCACCCUAUUUUAUCAUGUCUACAAAGAGAAAAACUACAUGCUACACUAUUUUAUCAUGUCUACAAAGAGAAAAACUGCAUACUACGCUAUUUUAUCAUGUCUACAAAGAGAAUCAAAGUACUUAAAGUACUCGUGGGAGUUGAACAUUGUGGAAAUUCAGUUAGAAAAGAUAGUACUGGAAGGGUAGGGGGAUAAAUGACUGAAUAUUAUCAUGAUUUUAGAUACAAA
RNA transcript from Ostrea edulis (European flat oyster), 3682 nucleotides. It is a transcript of the gene named coiled-coil domain-containing protein 93-like, with no coding region annotated. The record is from RefSeq and is a predicted model, not a curated record. The transcript is spliced from 22 exons. Lineage: Eukaryota; Metazoa; Mollusca; Bivalvia; Ostreida; Ostreidae.